UAGCUAAGAGGGAGAAUUGGCUUUUUUAUCAAAGGGCUGCCACAGAAAACAAGAAACAUGAGCACGGCAUUAGGGAAGUGAAGCCUGUGGGUAAUUUGUGGUGGCAAGGGGUUGGAGGCGGAAAGACUGUUUGAUGGGGUGCCUACUGUAUUGAGCUUCAGGCAGCAAAGGUAUUACGAAAGCCGUCAAGUUGGAGGACCGGAAAAGGAAAGUGGAUCUGGGCAGCUUUCCCAGAGGAGCAAGUAUUCCACCUGGGGCAUAGCUGACUUGGGUACCCUUUCUGAAAAACCAGGUUGGCCUUCUCAGUCUAUGAAGAAAAGGAGGGUGGCAAAAGUGCCCUGCACAGACAAAGCUGCUGAAUGAAGGAAGAGAUGAUAACGCCCUCUUUGGCACCCAGCUCUUUCUGGGAGGUACAUUCUCACCCAGUUGGAAGGGAAUGAAGACUAUCUCAUCUGUCAGACCUCUGGACAUAGCCCCGUGGCACAAAGAGAUGUGUCUUUAGGCAAAAUUAGGCAGCUUGUGAAUUUGAUUUCUGUUCCUAGUAUAAAGGGGCUGUGACUAAUUUUAUAUUCUGAAAGUGGUUUUGAGGAAUGAAAAAUCUAUUCUUCCCACCCCCAACCACCCACUCCCUCGAAUAAGGGUUUCCUUUUCCCAAGACGCCAGAUUGCUUUGCAGACAAUGCCACUCACUUAUUAUAGAAGGUUCUAGGAGAAGUUGGCAUAGAGCAUACUUCUGUUCCUGGGAAUUCUCUGGCUUAAUGGACACUGGACUUAUCAGUGGCCCAUGGCUGUCGACAGCUGCUGCUUUUCUUGUCUGUGAUGCCCCCUCAAAUGCACAAACACACACACAGGAAGCCCUAAUAUGGUGACCUUAAGAGCUAGUUUAAAAAAUUCUUUUGUUUUAGAAAUUGUGUGGGCUGGUAGAAAGAUGAAGUGAAGUUUUCACAAUUAAGAACUGUGCUUUGGAGUGUUGAUCCCAGGAGACAAACUCCCAGAAAACAUGCCUUCACUACUCUUGACUUUGGCUUUCACUUAGGCAUCCAAUUGGGUUUCUAAGAUUUAUUUUUUAAAAUGUGAGGAUUAAGGGAUUCCCAAUCACUUAAUGAGAAUGAAGGAUGAAGGGGUUUCCAAUCACUCAUAUUUUAGUGAGAAUUAGUCCAAGAAAAUAGCUUUCCUCUGAAACCCCUUUUUGCAUUCGGCUACUUGGGGUGAGAGAGAGGGUUAAUUUUAGCUAUAGUGCACCUUGGGGACUGAGGACCUAAAUUAAGAGAUUCCUACAUUUGAAUUCCAACAUUUUCUAAUGUUCAGAUGCAUCUGAUAGACCAGUAAUUUGUCUAAGGAGAUUGACCACCAUUUUAAACACUGUCUUCAUGGGGCGGGGGGCGGGGGGCGGGGGGGGCGUUUGUUACUAGUUCUGAACAACCAGCUUGCAAGUGAAUUUUUUCAGUCAAUAAUUUAGCCAAUGAUGAAACUGACAUUCAUAAAGGCAAAAAGGUCUCACAUGUGCAGUAGUGAAAAAAGAAUUCAUUCCUCCAGAUGUAGGGUCAUGGUGUUACAGAUAAAGGAAGGGCUCGUAGUACAAAGAAGCCCACAAGGACAAGCCUAUGGGGUCAUGGUGAAGUGCUUUGUCAUUGCAUUCUACCACCCCCUCCCCAACUCCCUGCUACUACUUAUUUUCAGUUCUACCCUGCCAGGGGGUUUCUGAGGUGUUGCCCCAGAAGUGCCCAAACCCUGACCUGCUGUCAAGGGCAUCCCUGUAGAUGUUCAUCCUCUCUCAUGGGGAACCUCCAUGGAAAUCUAAUUAUUCAUAUUCCAAUUA
This is a long non-coding RNA of Sapajus apella (tufted capuchin), 1818 nucleotides long. RefSeq lists it as uncharacterized. Lineage: Eukaryota; Metazoa; Chordata; Mammalia; Primates; Cebidae. The record is from RefSeq and is a predicted model, not a curated record. The transcript has 3 exons.